Molecule: non-coding RNA, 1680 nt
Organism: Meleagris gallopavo (turkey)
Lineage: Eukaryota; Metazoa; Chordata; Aves; Galliformes; Phasianidae
Source: RefSeq, a predicted model, not a curated record
UAGGAAAGAAAAUUUUUCAAGCUAAUGUGCUUGGAAAAAAAGCUCAUUUUUGUGAGAUUAUAUUUCUUGCUGAUAUUACUGUUUUGAAUUUUUUGAAACAAGUGCCAAGGACAACAUUAAUGUCAAGCAGACAUUCGAGCGACUUGUGGAUAUCAUCUGUGACAAAAUGUCCGAAAGUCUGGAGACAGAUCCCAACAUUACUGCCGGCAAGCAGAACACACGACUAAAGGAAACCCCUCCACCACAGCAACCCAACUGUGGCUGUUAAUGCAGCUACCAGCAAAGGCAGCUCCAGCAUGUUCUGUUGCCAACAGAGUAUUUAUGAAUGGUCUAUAUGCCUUUAUUUAUACUGUCUUAGUAAUUUAUUUGGGAGAAAAAUCUUUUAUUCUACAUUAGCAUCUAGUUGAGUAUAUGUACGAAGAUGGGGAUAUUAGUAGUUUGAAAGAAUAAUCUGUUUUUUAGCUUCUGGCUCUUGCAUGCAGGAUGGCUAUUAGUUUUUCUUUUCUUUUUACUGUUUCACAUUAUACUUACUUCAGCUGGUGCCACGUGACUUGCAUUAUUGGUUUCAAGUUUUAUAGUUGAAUCCUUAGGGUAGCAGCCAAGGUAUUUUAUAUUUUCUCCUGACCAAAAAUUAAUUUAGAAAUAUUACUUUGAAGACCCAAUCACUCAUUCUGUCUAGAUCAUUUGCAUAAGGAAAACUUCCUUGAGCAUACUGCCUGACUAAGUCUGAGCUCAGUAUGUUACACAUCGUGUGCUUGGAAACUGUAGAAGUUAGAAGGAGCAGACCUCCAGCCUUCCUGGACCUCAAGCUACCUGCUCUUCCUUUGAGAUUCCAACUGGAUAUGGGUGUUCAGUGCAGAUCCUCAGAGAUAUUAGAUACUUCAUCCUGGCUAGCUGGCUACUAUACUUACAUUUCUGUGGGCACUGUGUGUUUGUUAAACUCCUUUCUGAAACUUCACUCAUUUUCUCAUUCCAGCAUGCAGAUACCCUGGUAGUUUCUGCCCUAGCAGAGAGGUCUGACCAGCUCUUUUUCUUUCUACUGGCAUUAGAUAUUGAACACUCUGUUCAGGUAUUACCCCUGAAAAAGCCAAAUCAUACAGUCAGUUGUUCAUAGCCAAAAACUGUCUUGUCACGUUGCUGUCAAACCUGCAUGCUUACGCUUUCAGGAACUGUAUCUCCCAUUCAGUCACUGGGACAGCCAUCACCAUACUGGCUACUAAUUUCACUCAGAUCUGAUGUAGAUGUUGAUGUGCUUUAGUUUGACCUCAUUUUUUCUUUGAUGAGGAAAUCUUUUUUGACAAGACUAUCACAGAUUGGCAAGAUUUUGAAAAUAACUUUAGGAAUAAUAAAAAAUGGUUGUCAUUUCCUAACUUAAAAUGAAUGUAUCUAUAAAAUCAGGAAAUGCUGUGAAGUACACAGACACACACAAAAAGGCAGAAUAAAGUACACAAGUUCUAUUUCAAUCAACUUAAUAAAAAUAGUCAUAUUCCACAGUUUUAAAAUGGUAAUUGGUGGCACAUCUAUGUCCAGCACAUAGUGCUUCGUGCAACAUCUUUAUUUCUGUCACAGUGACAUUUUUAAGAUAAACUGCAUUAUUGUGGAAUUAAUUGUUUUAUUGUUUUUAGCAGACAGGCUUUAAGACAAGGCUGAUGUUUCCCUAACUGUCUGCAAUACAAAAAA